Molecule: small RNA, 564 nt
Filed under: Pan troglodytes (chimpanzee)
Lineage: Eukaryota; Metazoa; Chordata; Mammalia; Primates; Hominidae
Description: processed transcript
Source: RNAcentral
AGAGGACAGAGGAAUCUUCUCCCAAAGGCUUCUCAUCUUUUUGUUUGUUCUUCUCUCCUCAGAUGCUGAUAGGUCUUGCUGGCUACCUGAGUGGAUAUGAUGUUCUGUGCAUUCCUCGGCUCCUGGCUGGUCCCCUUUGCCUACCUCACUGUACUGGAUCUGUCCAAGUCCCUCUCGGCAGCACUGCUCACAGCUGCCCUCCUCACCUUUGACACGGGAUGCCUCACUCUGUCCCAGUACAUCCUCCUUGACCCCAUCCUGAUGUUCUUCAUCAUGGCUGCCAUGCUGAGCAUGGUCAAGUACAACUCUUGCGCCGACAGGCCCUUCUCUGCCCCCUGGUGGUUCUGGCUCAGCCUGACUGGCGUUAGUCUUGCUGGUGCUUUAGGGGUCAAGUUUGUCGGCCUCUUUAUCAUCCUUCAAGUGGGGCUGAACACCAUUGCAGACCUUUGGUACCUGUUCGGAGACCUCAGUCUUUCAUUGGUGACUGUGGGAAAACACCUGACUGCUCGUGUCCUGUGCCUCAUAGUGCUGCCCCUGGCUCUCUAUACAGCCACCUUUGCUGUU